Molecule: ribosomal RNA, 289 nt
Filed under: uncultured beta proteobacterium
Lineage: Bacteria; Pseudomonadati; Pseudomonadota; Betaproteobacteria
Description: partial 16S ribosomal RNA
Rfam family: Bacterial small subunit ribosomal RNA
Source: RNAcentral
CCCUUGUCCCUAGUUGCUACGCAAGAGCACUCCAGGGAGACUGCCGGUGACAAACCGGAGGAAGGUGGGGAUGACGUCAAGUCCUCAUGGCCCUUAUGGGUAGGGCUUCACACGUCAUACAAUGGUCGGAACAGAGGGUUGCGAAGCCGCGAGGUGGAGCCAAUCCCAGAAAACCGAUCGUAGUCCGGAUCGCAGUCUGCAACUCGACUGCGUGAAGCUGGAAUCGCUAGUAAUCGCGGAUCAGCAUGCCGCGGUGAAUACGUUCCCGGGUCUUGCACACACCGCCCGU